Molecule: long non-coding RNA, 483 nt
Organism: Amphimedon queenslandica
Lineage: Eukaryota; Metazoa; Porifera; Demospongiae; Haplosclerida; Niphatidae
Exons: 4
Source: RefSeq, a predicted model, not a curated record
ACACUAACAGAUAUUGCUACCUCUAUAUUAGACCAGUUAGGUCAGCCUAUACCUGAUAAUUUUAGUUCACCAUCACCAGUUGAUGAUAUAUUAGAUACACCAGUUACAUUAAGAAGCAUACUAAGAAUAGGAACAGACAUUGCUAAUAAUUUAAUGGGAGAAAGUGGAGAAAUACCUGCAGGACAUGGUUCCACUAUCAAAUAUAAUGUAAAGGGUUAUAUGGAUAAUGGACUACAGUGGAAGUGGGUGUGUACAUUCGAAGAUACAUGUACAGGAUUGAAAAUAGAAGGGCCUCCUAAAGAAAGUCGCACUGGUGCAAUGGAGCAUUGUCAUAAAGCAUGGCUUGAAAAAAUUGGAGAGAAACCAUAGACACAUACCUUUUUUGCAUACUUGAAUUAUAUUUAGAUAAAUCUACUACUGAGCUUUACUGCAUUUAUUUUCUGAAAAGUUGUUAUCCCUAUUUGAUGCUUCAUAUUUAUUUUC